GUAGUCAUAUGCUUGUCUCAAAGAUUAAGCCAUGCAUGUCUAAGUAUAAACGAUUUUGUACAGUGAAACUGCGAAUGGCUCAUUAUAUCAGUUAUAAUUUAUUUGAUAGUACCUUACUACUUGGAUAACUGUGGUAAUUCUAGAGCUAAUACAUGCAAAAUAACCCGACUUCGGAAGGGUUGUAUUUAUUAGAUAAAAAACCAAUGUGGGCAACCACUCUUUGGUGAUUCAUAGUAACUUAUCGAAUCGCAUGGCCUUGCGCCGGCGAUGGUUCAUUCAAAUUUCUGCCCUAUCAACUUUCGAUGGUAGGAUAGAGGCCUACCAUGGUUUUAACGGGUAACGGAGAAUUAGGGUUCGAUUCCGGAGAGGGAGCCUGAGAAACGGCUACCACAUCCAAGGAAGGCAGCAGGCGCGCAAAUUACCCAAUGGGAAUACCCCGAGGUAGUGACAAUAAAUAACAAUGCAAAGCCAUUUUGGUUCUGCAAUUGGAAUGAGUACAAUCUAAAUCCCUUAACGAGGAACAAUUAGAGGGCAAGUCUGGUGCCAGCAGCCGCGGUAAUUCCAGCUCUAAUAGCGUAUAUUAAAGUUGUUGCAGUUAAAAAGCUCGUAGUUGAAUUUCGGGCUCAGCAAGUUGGUCUACCUUUUGGUGGUACUGGCAUUGUUGGGCCUUACCUUCUGGGGAACCAAGGUGAUCUUAACUGAUUGCUUUGGGGAACCAGGACCUUUACUUUGAAAAAAUUAGAGUGUUUAAAGCAGGCUUACGCUUGAAUACAUUAGCAUGGAAUAAUAGAAUAGGACUUUGGUUCUAUUUUGUUGGUUUCUAGGACCAGAGUAAUGAUUAAUAGGGAUAGUUGGGGGCAUUAGUAUUGAGCAGUCAGAGGUGAAAUUCUUGGAUUUGCUCAAGGCUAACAACUGCGAAAGCAUUUGCCAAGGAUGUUUUCAUUAAUCAAGAACGAAAGUUAGGGGAUCGAAGACGAUUAGUACCGUCGUAGUCUUAACCAUAAACGAUCCGACUAGGGAUCGGUGGGAUUCGUUUCGAACCCAUCGGCACCUUAUGAGAAAUCAAAGUGUUUGGGUUCCGGGGGGAGUAUGGUCGCAAGGCUGAAACUUAAAGGAAUUGACGGAAGGGCACCACCAGGAGUGGAGCCUGCGGCUUAAUUUGACUCAACACGGGGAAACUCACCAGGUCCAGACAUAGUAAGGAUUGACAGAUUGAGAGCUCUUUCUUGAUUCUAUGGGUGGUGGUGCAUGGCCGUUCUUAGUUGGUGGAGUGAUUUGUCUGGUUAAUUCCGAUAACGAACGAGACCUUAACCUGCUAACUAGUUACACGAACCUUGGUUAGUGGCAACUUCUUAGAGGGACUGUUUGUGUUUAACAAAUGGAAGUUUGAGGCAAUAACAGGUCUGUGAUGCCCUUAGAUGUUCUGGGCUGCACGCGCGCUACACUGAUGAAACCAGCGAGUUUAUAACCUUGGCCGAAAGGUCUGGGUAAUCUUGUGAAAUUUCAUCGUGCUGGGGAUAGACCAUUGCAAUUAUUGGUCUUCAACGAGGAAUUCCUAGUAAGCGCGAGUCAUCAGCUCGCGUUGAUUACGUCCCUGCCCUUUGUACACACCGCCCGUCGCUACUACCGAUUGAAUGGCUUAGUGAGACCUUC
This 1653-nucleotide ribosomal RNA is filed under the name uncultured fungus. Its description in RNAcentral is "SSU rRNA". It matches the Rfam family "Eukaryotic small subunit ribosomal RNA". The record is from RNAcentral. Lineage: Eukaryota; Fungi.